GUGAGCGAGCCCAGAGUCGCGUACCUCCGGGCUCUGGCCGCUUCUUUCCUCUCAAGCCGACCUUCGCGCUUGCUUCCUGCCGCCCCGUCCCGACCCGGGGCUGGCGACAAUCCCGCGGUGGCUGGUGACGUUCGCUCCGGCUUGGCCGAGCACAGGAAGCCCGCGCCUACGGUCGUGCGACCCUUUUAUAACCCACUUGUGACUCAUAACCGACCGGGCGGCUUUUCUGUCACCCCCCCCCCUUCCCCUCCUCCUGCCUCUUCUUGGAACCCACAGCUUGAAAAACUUUUUUUUUCUUUUUAAAGGAAAAGUCGAAAAAGUCCAGCGCCCCGAGGAGGGGUGUUUUCCCCUUUCCCUUUCUCGUGGGUCACUCGGUGUGUGUUUUCUCUUACACCCGCCAUGUACUUUCCUGACCCGCGCAGCAAGGCUGGGGCGCCAACCUUUGUUCGCAAUGAAAAGGAAACGCAUUCAAAUUACGGCCAGACGUUGCCGAGCUUUCAGUCGGCUGGAGGGGAAGUGCUGCUUCUUACAACUGGCUGGCUGGGGAGUCUACACCCUGCUUGUAGUUGAGAAAGAAAAGUGAAGCAAGUGGAAAGUUCUCCCUUCCUGCUCCUACUGAUUCAGCCAGAGAUUCCACAUGUAAGAGAAAACGUGAGACCCGUCUUUCCGAAUCUGGCUUAACAUAAUGAUCUUCACUUCCAUCCAUUUUACUGCAGAUGACAUGAUUUCAUUUUCCUUUAUGGCUGAAUAAUACUCUAUUGUAGGUCAUCUGAGAAUAUAAUGACAUGAUGGUUUCCUCUAUGUCACAAAGAUAAUCCUCCCCAGAAACUAAAUUCUACUGGGUCUUGACAUUGGAUUCUGCCAUCCAAAACUAUGAAGAAAUAAAUGUGUUGUUUCAGCCACC
Molecule: long non-coding RNA, 904 nt
Filed under: Heterocephalus glaber (naked mole-rat)
Lineage: Eukaryota; Metazoa; Chordata; Mammalia; Rodentia; Bathyergidae
Description: lncRNA (ENSHGLG00000037216.1)
Source: RNAcentral